CUAAUACAUGCAAGUCGAACGCUUUGUGGUUCAACUGAUUUGAAGAGCUUGCUCAGAUAUGACGAUGGACAUUGCAAAGAGUGGCGAACGGGUGAGUAACACGUGGGAAACCUACCUCUUAGCAGGGGAUAACAUUUGGAAACAGAUGCUAAUACCGUAUAACAAUGACAACCGCAUGGUUGUUAUUUAAAAGAUGGUUCUGCUAUCACUAAGAGAUGGUCCCGCGGUGCAUUAGCUAGUUGGUAAGGUAAUGGCUUACCAAGGCGAUGAUGCAUAGCCGAGUUGAGAGACUGAUCGGCCACAAUGGGACUGAGACACGGCCCAUACUCCUACGGGAGGCAGCAGUAGGGAAUCUUCCACAAUGGGCGAAAGCCUGAUGGAGCAACGCCGCGUGUGUGAUGAAGGGUUUCGGCUCGUAAAACACUGUUGUAAGAGAAGAAUGACAUUGAGAGUAACUGUUCAAUGUGUGACGGUAUCUUACCAGAAAGGAACGGCUAAAUACGUGCCAGCAGCCGCGGUAAUACGUAUGUUCCAAGCGUUAUCCGGAUUUAUUGGGCGUAAAGCGAGCGCAGACGGUUAUUUAAGUCUGAAGUGAAAGCCCUCAGCUCAACUGAGGAAUUGCUUUGGAAACUGGAUGACUUGAGUGCAGUAGAGGAAAGUGGAACUCCAUGUGUAGCGGUGAAAUGCGUAGAUAUAUGGAAGAACACCAGUGGCGAAGGCGGCUUUCUGGACUGUAACUGACGUUGAGGCUCGAAAGUGUGGGUAGCAAACAGGAUUAGAUACCCUGGUAGUCCACACCGUAAACGAUGAGUGCUAGGUGUUUGAGGGUUUCCGCCCUUAAGUGCCGCAGCUAACGCAUAAGCACUCCG
RNAcentral lists this ribosomal RNA (869 nucleotides) under Weissella confusa. RNAcentral's name for it is "bacterial SSU rRNA". It matches the Rfam family "Bacterial small subunit ribosomal RNA", at positions 48 to 871 of the family's 1533-position model. Lineage: Bacteria; Bacillati; Bacillota; Bacilli; Lactobacillales; Lactobacillaceae. The record is from RNAcentral.